GAUGAACGCUGGCGGCGUGCCUAAUACAUGCAAGUCGAGCGAACAGACGAGGAGCUUGCUCCUCUGACGUUAGCGGCGGACGGGUGAGUAACACGUGGAUAACCUACCUAUAAGACUGGGAUAACUUCGGGAAACCGGAGCUAAUACCGGAUAAUAUAUUGAACCGCAUGGUUCAAUAGUGAAAGACGGUUUUGCUGUCACUUAUAGAUGGAUCCGCGCCGCAUUAGCUAGUUGGUAAGGUAACGGCUUACCAAGGCAACGAUGCGUAGCCGACCUGAGAGGGUGAUCGGCCACACUGGAACUGACACACGGUCCAGACUCCUACGGGAGGCAGCAGUAGGGAAUCUUCCGCAAUGGGCGAAAGCUUGGCGGAGCAACGCCGCGUGAGUGAUGAAGGUCUUCGGAUCGUAAAACUCUGUUAUUAGGGAAGAACAAAUGUGUAAGUAACUAUGCACGUCUUGACGGUACCUAAUCAGAAAGCCACGGCUAACUACGUG
Molecule: ribosomal RNA, 497 nt
Filed under: uncultured bacterium
Lineage: Bacteria
Description: partial 16S ribosomal RNA
Rfam family: Bacterial small subunit ribosomal RNA
Source: RNAcentral